UACAGAGGGUGCGAGCGUUAAUCGGAAUUACUGGGCGUAAAGCGCACGUAGGCGGCUUGGUAUGUCGGGUGUGAAAUCCCCGGGCUCAACCUGGGAACUGCAUCCGAAACUGCCUUGCUCGAGUAUGGGAGAGGGAAGUGGAAUUUCCGGUGUAGUGGUGAAAUGCGUAGAUAUCGGGAGGAAUACCAGUGGCGAAGGCGGCUGCCUGGCCUGUUCUUGACGCUGAGGCGCGAAAGCUGGGGGAGCAAACGGG
RNAcentral lists this ribosomal RNA (253 nucleotides) under uncultured bacterium. RNAcentral describes it as "partial 16S ribosomal RNA". It matches the Rfam family "Bacterial small subunit ribosomal RNA", at positions 524 to 776 of the family's 1533-position model. The record is from RNAcentral.